RNAcentral lists this transfer RNA (87 nucleotides) under Lysobacter sp. Root690. RNAcentral's name for it is "tRNA-Leu". It matches the Rfam family "tRNA". From Rfam's summary of the family: Transfer RNA (tRNA) molecules are approximately 80 nucleotides in length. Their secondary structure includes four short double-helical elements and three loops (D, anti-codon, and T loops). The record is from RNAcentral. Lineage: Bacteria; Pseudomonadati; Pseudomonadota; Gammaproteobacteria; Lysobacterales; Lysobacteraceae.
GCCCGGAUGGCGAAAUCGGUAGACGCAGCGGACUUAAAAUCCGCCGGGGGCAACUCCUUGCCGGUUCGAGUCCGGCUCCGGGCACCA